RNAcentral lists this ribosomal RNA (253 nucleotides) under uncultured bacterium. RNAcentral's name for it is "partial 16S ribosomal RNA". It matches the Rfam family "Bacterial small subunit ribosomal RNA", at positions 524 to 776 of the family's 1533-position model. The record is from RNAcentral.
UACGGAGGGUGCGAGCGUUGUCCGGAAUCAUUGGGCGUAAAGGGCGCGUAGGUGGCCCGGUUAGUCAGUGGUGAAAGCGCGGGGCUCAACUCCGCGUCGGCCAUUGAUACUGCUGGGCUGGAGCACUGUAGAGGCAGGCGGAAUUCCGGGUGUAGCGGUGGAAUGCGUAGAGAUCCGGAAGAACACCGGUGGCGAAGGCGGCAUCCUGGACCACGACUGACGCUGAUGAGCGAAAGCGUGGGGAGCGAACAGG